Molecule: ribosomal RNA, 422 nt
Filed under: uncultured bacterium
Lineage: Bacteria
Description: bacterial SSU rRNA
Rfam family: Bacterial small subunit ribosomal RNA
Source: RNAcentral
UAAGGAAUAUUGGACAAUGGAGGCAACUCUGAUCCAGCCAUGCCGCGUGAAGGAAUAAGGCCCUAUGGGUUGUAAACUUCUUUUAGACGGGACAAAACCCCUUUACGUGUAAAGGGUUGAUGGUACUGUCAGAAUAAGCAUCGGCUAACUUCGUGCCAGCAGCCGCGGUAAUACGAAGGAUGCAAGCGUUAUCCGGAAUUAUUGGGUUUAAAGGGUGCGUAGGCGGACUAAUAAGUCAGUGGUGAAAGCCUGCAGCUUAACUGCAGAUUUGCCAUUGAUACUGUUAGUCUUGAGUACAGUGGAGGUAGGCGUAAUGUUUCAUGUAGCGGUGAAAUGCUUAGAUAUGACACAGAACACCGAUUGCGAAGGCAGCUUGCCAAGCUGUAACUGACGCUGAGGCACGAAAGCGUGGGGAGCAAACA